This is a long non-coding RNA of Amphimedon queenslandica, 1323 nucleotides long. RefSeq lists it as uncharacterized. Lineage: Eukaryota; Metazoa; Porifera; Demospongiae; Haplosclerida; Niphatidae. The transcript has 8 exons. The record is from RefSeq and is a predicted model, not a curated record.
ACUGUAGCUAGAAUUUACUUGCAAUUGUAGGUAUCAUCAUGAACAGGCUAACUCUGUUUGUUCUUCUCCUUGCUAUCAUUCAAGUGCACUGCAACCCUGCUGCUUCUAAAAGAAGUUGGGAUGGUCCAGGACCACUAAAAGAUGAGAAUAAGCAUGAUUCUCAGCUGAUGGAUGCUACAGGCAAAGAAGAAGAUAAGGAAGAAAUCAAUCUUGACCUUGGUGAUGUUGAUGAGGAUGAAGACAAAGAAGGUGACAACAAAAAUGACAUAAAAGAUAAUGAUGACAGUGGAAAAGAUAAAGAUGAUAAAGACAACACAGAUGAUGAGGAUGAUAAAGAUGAUAAUUGAUAAUUUUAAAAGUGAUCUUGAAGAAUGUAAGUAUAUACAGUCUAUUACAACAUAUAUUUAAAUUAUAUUGCACUGGCAAAUAAAAUAUCUCAAGCACCUGCUAACUUCAGUGAAGAGUAUGGUAGUAGUGAAGAUGUUAUAGAGGGAGACAUCAAAAUGACUCCAGAGCAGGCUGCACUCUUCAAGCGUGGUGGAUGGGAUGAGUUAGUCAAUUCAGAAGCAUGGCUCCGUAACCAUGGCAAGUGGUCAAGGACUAUCCCAUACACAAUUAGUGGAGUUGCUACUAGAGAAAGGAAUGCUUUUAACAAGUUUAAUCAAAAUGUUUCAUGAUCUUACAUGCCUUCGAUUUACUCCAAGACAGAGUUAUAACCGUGAUUAUAUUCAAUUUGUUAGUCGAGGAGGUUGUUGGUCCUAUCUUGGUAAACAACCUCCAGGAAGAUAUGCCAGACCUCAGCUAGUCUCAUUAGCUAGUGGUUGCUAUCUUGCUGUCCCUGCUCAUUAGAUAAUGCAUGCACUUGGACGAUUUCAUGAACAAUCACGAGCUGACAGAGACACAUACGUCAGAAUAAUAACUGGAAAUAUAAGAAGUGGAUAUGCAGGAAAUUUUGUCAGACGAACUACUUCUGACAGCCAAUCUCUACCAUAUAAUUAUCUUUCAUUGAUGCAUUAUGGUAGAACUACUUUCAGUAGAAACGGUCAACCUACAAUUCAACCAAAACCUUAUUCAUUCAUCACUAUUGGCCAGAGAAACAGGUUGUCAAUGUAUGAUGUACAACACAUUAAUAUUCGAUACUGUCCAGAAAGAGCUCUUAGAUUAGUUGGAGGCAGAGGAUCAUUUGAAGGAAGAGUUGAAGUGUUUUGGAAUGGACAGUGGGGAACUGUCUGUGAUGAUUCAUUUGGUAGAAUGAUGGUCGUGUAAUUUGCAAGUAUAUGGGUUUCCCUGAUGUUGUUGCAACAUACCAUAGAGCUCGAUUUG